This 253-nucleotide ribosomal RNA is filed under the name uncultured bacterium. RNAcentral describes it as "partial 16S ribosomal RNA". It matches the Rfam family "Bacterial small subunit ribosomal RNA", at positions 524 to 776 of the family's 1533-position model. The record is from RNAcentral.
UACAGAGGGUGCGAGCGUUAAUCAGAAUUACUGGGCGUAAAGCGUGCGUAGACGGUUAUGUAAGUCAGAUGUGAAAGCCCCGGGCUCAACCUGGGAAUUGCAUUUGAGACUGCAUAGCUAGGGUGCGGAAGAGGGAAGCGGAAUUUCCGGUGUAGCGGUGAAAUGCGUAGAUAUCGGAAGGAACACCAGUGGCGAAAGCGGCUUCCUGGUCCAGCACCGACGUUCAGGCACGAAAGCGUGGGGAGCAAACAGG